Molecule: long non-coding RNA, 765 nt
Filed under: Homo sapiens (human)
Lineage: Eukaryota; Metazoa; Chordata; Mammalia; Primates; Hominidae
Description: HSALNT0033264
Source: RNAcentral
GACCAUAUCCCCUCCCAUGGAAAAAGCUGUGAUAUGAUUGCUUCACAACUCCAGGAUAUUUUUUGUCUACUUCACAUGAGGAGGAAAUUGAGCCUAAGAGAAAUAAGAAGUACUUCUUAUUUCAAGGUCACACGCCACCUCUGAGCGACAGAGUCUGAGUUGGAACCCCCUCUCCUUGCUUCCUGCCUGGUGUUCAUCCCAAGGUGCCACAUGGACUCCAUCAUGAAAACAUGGGCUCUAAUACCUCCCUGUCAGUGCUAACGGCUCUUCUCUGAACCUCAAGAACGGAAAGCCCGAGUACUACAAUUCACAGAUUCCCUGGCUAAAUUCCACCAUUGAAAGAAAUUGACGUAAGCUUUGGAAGACAAAAGAGAAGAAAAGCAUCUUCUCCAGCUUCAGCAGACACAUAAGCCUUGGAAGCAAGCAGACAGCAGAUGUGGACUUUUGCCCAUGAUUUACAAGGCUACAGGCAGCCCAGACCAUAGCUGGUGGUUUCCAGCAAUCUCUGAAAUUUACAUUUCUUGAAAGCAUUCUCACCUUUGGUCUCCAGACUCCAAUCUUUACAUAGACCUCCAAUUCCCCACAUGAAACCUCUUCCAUCUUGAAAUACUUAAAAUGUCUUCCAUUUUCCUAACUAAAUACUGACUAGAACAGUGACAAAGUGAAUCCCCACUUUUCAGGUUUGCUUUGGCUCUGAGUAUUGCCUGCAGGAGCUCUGCAGCAAGCAAGGCCCUCCACGUUCUCAGCUCCAUCCAUACUCCAGCC